Long non-coding RNA from Gallus gallus (chicken), 520 nucleotides. The record is from Ensembl. NCBI's taxonomy places the organism in Eukaryota, Metazoa, Chordata, Aves, Galliformes, Phasianidae.
CAAGGGUUUCCUGCUGGAGCUCACUGCUACCUGAGGCAUUCUAAGGCUGCAGAAAUAAGACCUAGAUGCAUGAGUAAGGAAGUGGAACAGAAGAAAUAAUUUCAGCCCUGUUAGAAAGCAUCAAAACACUGAAAGCAGGAGAACAUUCCAUCAAAAUCUGGGAAAGAGGCAUGCAGAGGGUACCGUUACUUAACAGAAAAGCUCUUGUAGGGUGAAGAACAGCUUACACGCAUCUAUGCAGCUUUUUCUAACAGUAUGCUUGUUAGAGAACUUGCCUGGCUUGUGAUGCCUGAUCUCAUAAACUACGUGGGGCUAUUUGGAAGCUAGCAUUUGAUUCCUUAUCCACUGCUUCUUAGGGCAGUAUGUGUUGUGCUGAGAGAGAAGCCUCAGGGGUCAUGCUGUCUCUACCUCUGAACUUGUCCCACCUGUGUAAGUUGGAAAGAGAAGGAUGGAAAAUACCUUUUUUUUACUAUACAGUCUAUAUAAUUUCUCAGUGACCAGGAGCGUAAAUACUCACAAG